RNAcentral lists this non-coding RNA (86 nucleotides) under Peptococcaceae bacterium. RNAcentral's name for it is "c-di-GMP sequence". It matches the Rfam family "c-di-GMP-I riboswitch aptamer". Rfam says of the family: GEMM was predicted in a large-scale screen for bacterial structured RNA regulatory elements. Lineage: Bacteria; Bacillati; Bacillota; Clostridia; Eubacteriales; Peptococcaceae. The record is from RNAcentral.
AACCGAAAAAAGCAAACCCAGCGAAAGCCGGGGACGCAAAGCCAUGGGUCUAAGGCGUGGAAAGCUAAGACUGCCAGGUUGCCGUA